UAAGUUCCCUUAGUCUUUUUUCUUCAUCUUCUUUUUGUCUGUCAUGACUAGUCUUUCUAUGAAAGUUAAAGUACAAGGCUCUUGUGGUUCUGUUGCCUCUUAAAGAUACAGUAACAGUAGUAAAAGUCUUUAUAAGAAGCAGCUGAAGCUGGUGUUAUAUUUCUUCACACAGCCAUAAAUUUUUAGUACCUGAAAAUUUUUUUGGAAUACAUAGAACCCAUAUUAGUAUUAUAAAAAAACGCAAAGUACCACUCAAUUGAUUGCUUAAACUAAGGAGAUGUGGCAAAUAAAAUGUCAAGAGAAUGGGAUUUAGGCAAGAAAAAUCAAUUUAUUGAUUAGGCUAGCAAUAAUUAAUAAAUUAACAGCCAAUGAUCUCUCUUGGUGAUCAGCGACGAAUCAUACACAGCCUUGGAUCAUUUAAAUACAGUUGUUUGUUUUUUUAAUCCCUUACCUUCUAUCUUAGAAUCAAUACUGGGUAUUGGUUCUAAGGCAGAUGAGUGGUAAGGGCUAGGCAAUGGAGAUUAAGUGACUUUCCCAGGGUCACACAGCUAGGAUGUGUCUGAGGUCAGAUUUGAACCUAGGACCUCCCGUCUCUGGACCUGACUCUCAAACCACUGAGCCACCCAGUUGUCCCCUUUAAAUACAGUUCUAAAAGCCAUUAUUCAGUCAUACCUAAUGAGGAGGUAGGCUAAUAUUUUCCACCCCUACUGUAGUUACUUCAUGGUAGAUGCCAUGAGGAGACAGACCUGUGUCACAAGAUUCCAAUAGCUUCUGGUAAUCUAGAUGAGCAGAUCAAGUUAUGUCUGAUUAAGUUUUCACUUCCGGAGCUCAUUUCAACAGACAAAACCAAGGAUAGGAGGCUAACAUUCCUGCAAAUUUCUUACUCAGUCAUCCAACUCCAGUGACAGGACAAAAGUCAAGAUGACUGGUGAUGGCCUGGGAUGCAGUGGAUGACCUUGGUGGCUAUGAUAUCUUGCCAAGCUGUAGGCACUCCACAGCACCUGCUUGUCACCUUCAUGGCCACUAGAAGAAAUUG
RNAcentral lists this long non-coding RNA (1036 nucleotides) under Monodelphis domestica (gray short-tailed opossum). RNAcentral's name for it is "lncRNA (ENSMODG00000048302.1)". Lineage: Eukaryota; Metazoa; Chordata; Mammalia; Didelphimorphia; Didelphidae. The record is from RNAcentral.